Molecule: unclassified non-coding RNA, 1519 nt
Filed under: Portunus trituberculatus (swimming crab)
Lineage: Eukaryota; Metazoa; Arthropoda; Malacostraca; Decapoda; Portunidae
Description: protein tramtrack, beta isoform-like, transcript variant X2
Source: RNAcentral
UGGCCGCCUAGCCAAGCCGCUCAGCCCACUCAAGCCACAGCCCACCACCUUUCUCCAUUCUCAAGUCUAUAUGAUGACAGCCGCCGCGCAACGCAUCUCAUUGUCGUGUUCAGGGAACGACGCCCAGUCCUCCAAGAUGGCAGAUGGAAUGUUAUCAUUAUCGUGGAACAACCACAGAGCAACAUUCUGCCACAUACUAGCAACACUUAGAGAAAAGGAGAGGUAUACUGAUGUAACCGUGGCAUGUGAGGGCAAGUUUUAUCCUGUACACAAACUGGUGUUGUCCACAUGCAGUGAGUACUUUGAGAAGAUCUUUGAGAACACACCUUGUAAGCACCCUGUCAUCGUGCUGAAGGAUGUCAACCGCUGUGACCUGGAGGCUCUCUUUUGCUAUAUGUACGAGGGUGCUGUUAGCGUGGCACAAAGCAACCUUGGCCGCCUCAUCAAGGCCGCUGAAGUUCUCAGAAUCAAGGGCCUCGCUGUACCAGACGAGCCACCAAUAUCAGACAGACGCACAGCAUCCUCGCACCAUCACCACUCCUCAGACGACCGCAGCAGUCCACACCCCAAGCGGCGGAGACGGGAAGAGAACAGCCACACACAUCAGGGGCGAUCACAGUCGUCUCCAUCACCCCCUUCCUCCCCCAGACCCUCACCCCUGCAUGAAGGGGGAGAGAACCACCCUGCCCAGAGGUCCCGGAGUGACAGCCAGUGGGGGGACCAUGGGGUGACAGACCGGGAGGAUGGGGGCAUGGAUGGGUUGGCUGAUGACAGGCUGGGGGAUCACUCAACCACUAGCCACUCAGUUCCCACGCCACCACAAGUAGAGGUAAUGGUGGACGAAACUCUAGUCAAGGAGGAGAUGAUCGACCAGGGAGACACGGGGCAGGAAGACAUGAUGGACUCAGGGAUGGACUACGGUUCGGUGGGCAGCGACUCACGGCUGGAGGGCUCAGCGGGAGGCGGAGGGGAAGAAGAUCACAUGUUACCUGGCAAGUAUGAACCCAAAGCCAAUCCCUCGCAGCAGGCCAUUCCUGAGGCUGUGGUGGAGGCGCUGGCUGGACCCUCAGGGAUGCAAACGUGGUUAGGUGGUGAGAUGCCUUCUGGGUUCUCUGGGCUGGAGGGCUACACAGGCAGUGAUGGGGGACAAGACCUCCACCCGUCCUCCCAGGCCCCAGCGGCACACCAGCUGGAUGCUUACAGAAGUGGUUGUCUUGAUACCUUGACUGAAGCAAAGAUUACCAACAGCAAGACUCCGUUUGACUUUGGUCAACCUUGGCUCUGUCAUUGCUAUAGAGGCAUUCCCAUGCCCUAUCCUUGAAUCUUGUCUCCUCCUGUUACCACCACUAAGUUGGUAGAUUACCUCUGCUGCAAUCUCAUGUGUCCCUGGGAUCACCUUGGAACGGCAAGGAUGACUGUGUGUUGACCGCCUGCUUGCGCUGCGACCACAUUCCGCUCAGCCAGCUGCUUCCCUCCCAGAGGCACCGGCACCAGUUGGUCAUCAUCAUCGCCCUGGGCC